CGCCAUUUUCAAACUUCAGAGCCUCACUGACUGGAACUCUUCUAACAGCGACAUUAUUCCUCAUUAUUACUUUUUUCUCAUUCUUUCUUCGACACCUAUUAUCACUUCAACGAUUAUUAUUUUUUUACAUAUAUUGGCAGCUGGAAGAGGAUUUUCAUUAAAAGGUGCAGGAGAGACUACACUGGAAGAGGGGAGUCAGGCGGGUUGGGAAUCCUUUCCCCUGUUGCCUAACAUGCUGGAGAACGGGGAUCGAGGGUAAGUCAGAUCUUUCCUGUGUCCGUUUCUGAGCCUAACCAAAACGGCCUCUGGCUUGAAUGGGUGAGCAGAGUUAGGCCAGGGUGUGUAUGUGUCUACAUAAGCGUGCGAGCUUCUCUUUUAGAUCCAUAAACAAACACACAUAAAUCUCACCUUUCCUGCAUUCAUGUUAUAGCUAGUACAAUAUUUUAAUGGCAUUGCUUGAAGCUAAUCUACAUUAUUCUAGUCAUAUUUAGAGGUUAAAUGUUUAAUGUCAACCCAUGGUGUUGUGUGCUGGAAGACCUGCUGUCUUAUCACAGCACUGACUUGGAUCCCUUCCACAGUGUUAACAAAUGUACUAGACAAGUACACGGAUCAAGAUUUAGCAGAAAAUGACUGACAGGAAGUUAGGCAUAGACUAGCAUUCACAUAUCCGGCAUUUUCAUCAUAAAUGUGUGUAAGAGAGAAUGACUGACCAUGAUACAUUCACACAGUAAGAUGCUAAAUAAUGUUUGCUCCAGAUCGACAGGCAAAUAUAUGUAUGCAGUUCCACACUCUUAAUAAAUACACAAAUAAUAAAAUAUGUCCUCUUAAUUACGCUAACUAAAACACUGAGUUUUAGUUCAAUUGAUACUUGAUGCAAUCAUGCAAAUAAUUUACUCAAAUAAAAAAUACAUCAAAUAUUACAAUAAAUAUAUAGAACACGAUAGGAGUGGCUUUUGUAACCCUGUAUUCUUGUUUGUCCUCACAGCUUCCCCUCGCCUGUGUUUUCCUUCAUCAUACUACCACCGCGUCAGAAGGGUGAAGGUAGGGCUGGAGUUAAGAUGGCUGACACAGCGGGCUGUCAUUUCAAAUGAGCACUAAGUAAAUUACUCUCCCUCCAUUAUCGUAAUGAGAAGCCUUUCCCAUCGAGAGAGGGAGACAGCAAAGGAAAAAAAAUGAUAUUGACCCUUUGGCACACAGACAACAUUAGUCUUACUCGCCAAGCUUCCUUUCCCCAAGAUAAAACAGCCAAACGUACAAUGCCCGUAUGAAAUUGUAACUAAGAGGUGAAAUUCAUGAGUGGUAUGAAACAUAGACAUGUAUACUGACCGGUGUAAAUGGUAUAUGGUAAACAAAGACUUUCUCUUUCGUACAUCCACACACACACACACACGAGGAGUCAUGCUGUGGCCACUAGAAUACAUGCAAUAUAAGUAGCAACUGAAAUGAAAAUAGGUUUCAGAUAUUAGUACGUUAACACACACACACACAUACUCGCCCACGUAAUUCAGAACAGUUAGACAACAUAGAUGAAAUGGCUCCUGAUUCCUUCAUGAAUUAUUAGUAUAUAGUUGGACCACAGUCAGAAAGCAGAGACGGCAGACGAGUUCACAUGAUAAUUGGGAAAAAGCACGAGAUACUGAGUAGAUGUAAAGAUAAACAUACGAUGAAGCAGCCAUUAUUAUUUAAGCCUAUUUGAACACAGGAUAAAAAUAAUAAUAAUAAAAAAAGUGGGAUCCUGAGGACCAGUGUAAAUUAGGGCUUCUAGGUUCCAGUGGAAAAGACAUGCACACUCACUGUUCAGAGGUAAUAACUAGAACAUUUUUUUUCUGUUACAUUUAUUCGAUGACCGUAGCACUUGAUAAUCUCUGGUAGCAGCUUGAACUGGCCUUUCCUUGGGUUUAUGUAUAGCCAAUGCAAUAUUGGAAGAUAAUACUUACAUUUUGUAACAAUUUUUAAUUGAGUUAUAAGAGUAAAAUCUUACACGGGGAGGAAUAAUAUUCUGCACAAAAGUGCAACAUUCGCUAAUUUAUAGUCAUGCCUAUUUGAAGAUCGCAAUCAACUAAAAAGCUUUGGCAGCCAUUGCCGUUCUGAAAAGAGACUAUUAAGGGUUAUGGUCAUCAGUUUUCCCUUUUCUUUGAUCUGCACUCUUAUGCUUACAACAGAUUAAUCUAGAGAUCUGUGCAGCGCUCCUGCUUGCUGUAAUGGUCGAACUGGCUCUUCCAGUGCAUCAUGUAAGAGCUCCAGCGAUGAAACUCCACUUUCCACUGUCGCUCAACAUCAUCAAUGUUAUCUGGGUAGGAAAUAUGAGGAAAACAACAGCAUGAGGUUUGACAGGAAAGUAGAGGCAAGAAUGAAUUGAAAAAUCUCAGAAAAAUUGAAAUGUUUCUUUAUGGUCAGC
RNAcentral lists this long non-coding RNA (2398 nucleotides) under Danio rerio (zebrafish). RNAcentral describes it as "si:ch211-153n19.3 (ENSDARG00000105638.2)". Lineage: Eukaryota; Metazoa; Chordata; Actinopteri; Cypriniformes; Danionidae. The record is from RNAcentral.